UUUAGACAGAUUUGUUCAUUGCCCCUCUCAAGUGCCCUCUGAGCUGGGGGCCAUUAUUCCAGCUCCUCUGUGCUUCCUCAGUUAAACCAAGGACCUCAGCUGCUUCUCCCACUUGGCCAAGCAGGGAGGAAGAAGCUUAGGCAGGGCCCUCCUUCCUUCUUGCCUUUGGAUGUUCUCUCUCAGGGGCCGGUGUCACGAGGGAGCAUAGAAAUCAGGGAUGGCCGUUGGCCACGUCUUCCUUCUACUCGACCUUCCCCCUGCCACGGGCCCUUUCCUCGGGCAAGGUCUGGCCUCAGGUGGGCCAUAGGCGGAAGAGCAACCCUUGGCCAGAAGUCAGGCCCAACCACAUGGAGCCUAGAGCUGGGGCCACCGACUUCUCCAUCCUUUCUGCCUCCCAGCAUCACUUGAGUCCCAGGGCCUUGGUUUUCAUGUUUUUGAAACAGAACAAUAAAGCAUAUGUGUUAGCUUGUUAUAUAA
This is a long non-coding RNA of Cebus imitator (Panamanian white-faced capuchin), 477 nucleotides long. RefSeq lists it as uncharacterized. The transcript has 2 exons. NCBI's taxonomy places the organism in Eukaryota, Metazoa, Chordata, Mammalia, Primates, Cebidae. The record is from RefSeq and is a predicted model, not a curated record.